CUGCUGAGGACAGAUAAAGUGAAUGUGCGUAUCGAUUCCUCCCGCCGUCACGAUCAUUCCCUCUCCAGCCAAAGCCUCCGUGGAAGCUCCCACCGUCAUGCCCGGCGUUACCCCGUCCAUGACGUCCGGAUUUCCUGACUUACCGAUUGCCUUCAUCUUUCCAUCCUUGAUGCCGAUAUCUGCCUUUACGAUUCCCGUAUAAUCCAAAAUCAAGGCAUUGGUGAUGACCAGAUCCAGAUCUCCGUCACUGCUUCGGGUUUUCACAGACUGACCCAUACCGUCACG
This 285-nucleotide small RNA is filed under the name human gut metagenome. RNAcentral describes it as "5' ureB small RNA". It matches the Rfam family "5' ureB small RNA". The record is from RNAcentral.